This 27-nucleotide non-coding RNA is filed under the name Rattus norvegicus (Norway rat). The record is from RNAcentral. Lineage: Eukaryota; Metazoa; Chordata; Mammalia; Rodentia; Muridae.
UGGAGGAAAAGAAACCACCACAAGGGC